This is a small nucleolar RNA of Jaculus jaculus (lesser Egyptian jerboa), 204 nucleotides long. Its record names the gene SNORA73. It matches the Rfam family "Small nucleolar RNA SNORA73 family". From Rfam's summary of the family: U17 (SNORA73A and SNORA73B) also known as E1 belongs to the H/ACA class of small nucleolar RNAs (snoRNAs). Vertebrate U17 is intron-encoded and ranges in length from 200-230 nucleotides, longer than most snoRNAs. NCBI's taxonomy places the organism in Eukaryota, Metazoa, Chordata, Mammalia, Rodentia, Dipodidae. The record is from Ensembl.
CCAACGUGAAUAUCCUGGGAGGUCACUCUCCCUGGGCUCUGUCCAGGUGGUGUAGGGAAGCACAGGGUUUUGCCCCAUGGUGUACAGUCCCUUACCACAAUGUUGGAGACAAAGCUGGGCCUUGAGACUGCAUCUGCAUAUUCCUAGGACUUCCCAGAGUCCUUUGGAUGAUGACUGAGGAGAUAAGCCAAGCAGGAAACAAUC